GACGUAGGGCGCGAGCGUUGUCCGGAUUUAUUGGGCGUAAAGAGCUCGUAGGCGGCUUGUCGCGUCGUCCGUGAAAACCUGCGGCUCAACUGCAGGCUGGCGGUCGAUACGGGCAGGCUGGAGUUCGGUAGGGGAGACUGGAAUUCCUGGUGUAGCGGUGGAAUGCGCAGAUAUCAGGAGGAACAACAAUAGCGAAGGCAGCCCGGCGGGAAGUUACUUACACUAAGGCGCGAAAGCGUGGGGAGCGAACAGG
RNAcentral lists this ribosomal RNA (253 nucleotides) under uncultured bacterium. RNAcentral describes it as "partial 16S ribosomal RNA". It matches the Rfam family "Bacterial small subunit ribosomal RNA", at positions 524 to 776 of the family's 1533-position model. The record is from RNAcentral.